AGAGUUUGAUCCUGGCUCAGGAUGAACGCUGGCGGCGUGCCUAAUACAUGCAAGUCGUGCGGUAACGAGAGGAGCUUGCUCCUUGUCGACGAGCGGCGGACGGCUGAGUAACGCGUAGGAACCUACCCCAAACUGAGGGAUAAGCAUCAGAAAUGGUGUCUAAUACCGCAUGUGCUCUUCGGAGUAAAGCUUUUGCGGUU
RNAcentral lists this ribosomal RNA (200 nucleotides) under uncultured bacterium. Its description in RNAcentral is "partial 16S ribosomal RNA". It matches the Rfam family "Bacterial small subunit ribosomal RNA", at positions 8 to 220 of the family's 1533-position model. The record is from RNAcentral.